AGAGUUUGAUCCUGGCUCAGGAUGAACGCUAGCGACAGGCUUAACACAUGCAAGUCGAGGGGCAGCGGGGUAGUGCUUGCACUACUGCCGGCGACCGGCGCACGGGUGAGUAACACGUAUGGAACCUGCCCGCAGCAGGGGGAUAAGCGGAAGAAAUUCCGUCUAAUACCGCGUAACAACGUUGGGAGGCAUCUCCCGAUGUUUAAAGAUUUAUCGGCUGCGGAUGGCCAUGCGGCGCAUUAGCUAGUCGGCGGGGUAACGGCCCACCGAGGCGACGAUGCGUAGGGGUUCUGAGAGGAAGGUCCCCCACACUGGUACUGAGACACGGACCAGACUCCUACGGGAGGCAGCAGUGAGGAAUAUUGGUCAAUGGCCGAGAGGCUGAACCAGCCAAGUCGCGUGAGGGAAGACGGCCCUACGGGUUGUAAACCUCUUUUGUCGGGGAGCAAAGCGAACCACGUGUGGUUCAUUGAGAGUACCCGAAGAAAAAGCAUCGGCUAACUCCGUGCCAGCAGCCGCGGUAAUACGGAGGAUGCGAGCGUUAUCCGGAUUUAUUGGGUUUAAAGGGUGCGCAGGCGGAGGUGCAAGUCAGCGGUCAAAUUGCGGGGCUCAACCCCGUACUGCCGUUGAAACUGCAUCCCUUGAGUGCGCGAGAAGUAUGCGGAAUGCGUGGUGUAGCGGUGAAAUGCAUAGAUAUCACGCAGAACUCCGAUUGCGAAGGCAGCAUACCGGCGCGCAACUGACGCUCAUGCACGAAAGCGUGGGUAUCGAACAGGAUUAGAUACCCUGGUAGUCCACGCAGUAAACGAUGAACACUAACUGUUCGGCCAAAGUGAUGGCUGAGUGGUACAGCGAAAGCGUUAAGUGUUCCACCUGGGGAGUACGCCGGCAACGGUGAAACUCAAAGGAAUUGACGGGGGCCCGCACAAGCGGAGGAACAUGUGGUUUAAUUCGAUGAUACGCGAGGAACCUUACCCGGGCUCAAACGACACAGGCAUACUUUUGAAAGGAGGUAGCCCUACGGGGUCUGUGUCGAGGUGCUGCAUGGUUGUCGUCAGCUCGUGCCGUGAGGUGUCGGCUUAAGUGCCAUAACGAGCGCAACCCCUAUCGCCAGUUACCAUCAAGUAAAGUUGGGGACUCUGGCGAGACUGCCGGCGCAAGCUGUGAGGAAGGCGGGGAUGACGCCAAAUCAGCACGGCCCUUACGUCCGGGGCGACACACGUGUCACAAUGGCAGGUACAGAGAGAAGCCAGGUGGCGACACCGCGCGGAACUCGAAAGCCUGUCUCAGUUCGGAUCGGAGUCUGCAACCCGACUCCGUGAAGCUGGAUUCGCUAGUAAUCGCGCAUCAGCCAUGGCGCGGUGAAUACGUUCCCGGGCCUUGUACUCACCGCCCGUCAAG
This 1401-nucleotide ribosomal RNA is filed under the name uncultured bacterium. Its description in RNAcentral is "partial 16S ribosomal RNA". It matches the Rfam family "Bacterial small subunit ribosomal RNA". The record is from RNAcentral.